Molecule: unclassified non-coding RNA, 253 nt
Filed under: uncultured Bacteriovoracaceae bacterium
Lineage: Bacteria; Pseudomonadati; Bdellovibrionota; Bacteriovoracia; Bacteriovoracales; Bacteriovoracaceae
Description: contains 16S-23S intergenic spacer region
Rfam family: Bacterial small subunit ribosomal RNA
Source: RNAcentral
UACGAAGGGUGCAAGCGUUGUUCGGAUUUAUUGGGCGUAAAGCGCGCGCAGGCGGAUUAAUAAGUCAGGUGUGAAAUCUCGGGGCUUAACCCCGAAAUUGCGCCUGAAACUGUUGAUCUUGAAUCCUGGAGAGGGAAGGGGAAUAUCUCAUGUAGGGGUAAAAUCCGUAGAGAUGAGAUGGAACACCAGAGGCGAAGGCGCCUUCCUGGACAGGUAUUGACGCUGAGGCGCGAAAGCGUGGGGAGCAAACAGG